ACCUACGGGAGGCAGCAGUGGGGAAUCUUGCGCAAUGGGCGAAAGCCUGACGCAGCAACGCCGCGUGCGGGAAGAAGGCUCUCGGGUUGUAAACCGCUUUCAGAAGGAACGAAACUGACGGUACUUUCAGAAGAAGGUGCGGCCAACUACGUGCCAGCAGCCGCGGUGACACGUAGGCACCAAGCGUUGUCCGGAUUUAUUGGGCGUAAAGAGCUCGUAGGCGGUUCAGUAAGUCGGGUGUGAAAACUCUGGGCUUAACCCAGAGACGCCACCCGAUACUGCUGUGACUUGAGUACGGUAGGGGAGCAGGGAAUUCCUGGUGUAGCGGUGAAAUGCGCAGAUAUCAGGAGGAACACCGGUGGCGAAGGCGCUGCUCUGGGCCGAAACUGACGCUGAGGAGCGAAAGCGUGGGUAGCAAACAGGAUUAGAUACCCCGGUAGA
This 441-nucleotide ribosomal RNA is filed under the name uncultured bacterium. RNAcentral's name for it is "bacterial SSU rRNA". It matches the Rfam family "Bacterial small subunit ribosomal RNA", at positions 337 to 794 of the family's 1533-position model. The record is from RNAcentral.